GAUGAAGAACGCAGCGAAAUGCGAUACAUGGUGUGAAUUGCAGAAUCCCGUGAACCAUCGAGUCUUUGAACGCAAGUUGCGCCCGAAGCCAUUAGGCCGAGGGCACGCCUGCCUGGGCGUCACACGUCGUUGCCCCCCCAUCUACUCCUUCGGGAUUGCGGGGGGCGGAUGAUGGCCUCUCGUGCGCCUCGUCGCGCGGUUGGCCUAAAUGCCAAGUCCUCGGCGACGCACGCCACGACAAUCGGUGGUUGCGAAACCUCGGUUGCCUGUCGUGUGCGGUCGUCGCGCAUCGAGGGCUCGAAAAAAUUGCCGGGCUUCGGCUCGACUUUCAACGCGACCCCAGGUCAGGCGGGGUUACCCGCUGAAUUUAAGCAUAUCAAUAAGCGGAGGA
RNAcentral lists this unclassified non-coding RNA (391 nucleotides) under soil metagenome. RNAcentral's name for it is "partial contains 5.8S ribosomal RNA, internal transcribed spacer 2, and large subunit ribosomal RNA". The stretch from base 1 to 122 matches the Rfam family "5.8S ribosomal RNA", at positions 35 to 154 of the family's 154-position model. The record is from RNAcentral.